ACAAAAUUCUGGAUCCGUCACUGACUCGAGGACCAUCGGCUACUUAGGCCUCAUAUUGACUGUAGCAAAACUCCACCAAUCGUUGUCUCUGAUAUGAUUGAGAUCAAGCAGAUGGCCUUUUCUACGGUUUUGGAGUCCUACUUUAGCAACAUGUUGAGUGAAUACAAGAAAAAACCGGCGAAGUAGAAGAAGACAACCGAUUGGAUAGAUCAUAGAGCCAGAAUUUUUUUUAUUUUGGAGACGAGUCGAUUUGGUGACGAGGAGAAUGUGAACCUUCUGAACCACUUCAUCCUAUAGUUGACAAAGGAGAAGGCGAACCUUCUGAACCACUUCAUCCAAUAGUUUAUAAGAAUCUUUUGAACCAAUUCGGUGGAAAUAGCAAGGUAGGUAGCUCAUUGACAAUGGUGGAGAUGCCAGACCAUUCCAUCAAUUUUAAUGUAGAUUUACGGAGUGCAGUAACUUUCCGGCGCCCAGCAUCGGAAAAUCACCUAUGGGCAUUUUGGAGUGAGCCGACUCUCUGUCCUUGCAGUAAGCUCUCUCUCUGUCUCAUAUCUCUCUUAAUUUCUCACUUCAUUUCUUGUUAAAAUUUUCUAUUAAUAGAGAAAUAAGUUCUUCCAUUAAUUUGCUAGUAUUUAUGAAUGAAAAAUGACUCAGAAAAGAAAAAAAAAAAAAAAAAAAAACAAAUUCUGUUAAUCCGAUUUUGCAAACUGACGUCCAUAGCCUAAUGGGUUUUUAUUCAUUUGAUACAGUGAAUGAGUCCCACACUACCCACUGCAUCGAAGGGGAUAAAUCCCUUCCGCUUUGCAUAUUUUUUGAGUUAAAGAAAUAAGUUCAAAUGACAUAUUCUUUAUUUUGACAUGGAAAAUUUUAAUGUAGGUGGUAGUAUUACCGAUUCAGUAACUAGUGUUGGCUUUUGCUCUGAUACCACUUUGUUGGAAAUAGUGGCCUAGUUACACACACAAUACUAUACUAUUUGGAAGAGAAUAGAAAUGGAGGAAAAUACUUUUUAUUUCACUUCAAUCUAUUAUUUGACUAGAGUACAUGAAUAUAUAGGCCUCACAUAUGUAUGUGUAACCAUUACAUUUAAAUGUCCAUAACUCUCCUAUCUCCCACUAACAUAAUCUUCAAUAUGCAUAACUCCCACUAAUAUAGUAUUUGUUAGGCUUAACUCUCAUGACUCUUUAUUUUACAUAACCUUAACUCCCACUAAGACAAUUUACUACCCACUAACAUGCUAAAUUAACACAUACAUCAUGGAUACAAAAAUACUUGAAAAUACUAAAUACUAAAAUCAAGUUUAUUUUCAACACCCCCCUUUAAACUUGAUUUUGUAACUUGAAAAACCUUCUUAUUAAUCUUGGGGGCUUGAUCAAAAGUUCGAUAGUUGAUCUUCAAUUCCACCUCCUUCAAUAGCUUCAAUCUUCUUGGCCAUUUCCAUUGAUGUGUAGGGCUUGUGAAACUUCUUCAAAUGCUUGUUUGAUAUCGUCACAUAAUCAUAUAUCAUCCUCUUUAUACAAGCACACCAUCGAUCUUUUUUCUUCUUAAAUUUUUUAUGGAUCUUCAACUUCACAUAUACUUCUUCUUUAGAGUCA
Cornus florida is the source of this 1592-nucleotide long non-coding RNA. RefSeq lists it as uncharacterized. The record is from RefSeq and is a predicted model, not a curated record. The transcript is spliced from 4 exons. Lineage: Eukaryota; Viridiplantae; Streptophyta; Magnoliopsida; Cornales; Cornaceae.